CCCUAGCCCCGAUAGCAGUGGAUAUCCUUUUCUAUUUUUUCUUUAAAAAUAGAAAAGAUAAGAACGGAUAGCGGGAUUAGCU
This is a non-coding RNA of Flavobacterium sp. LM5, 82 nucleotides long. NCBI's taxonomy places the organism in Bacteria, Pseudomonadati, Bacteroidota, Flavobacteriia, Flavobacteriales, Flavobacteriaceae. The record is from Rfam.